RNAcentral lists this ribosomal RNA (420 nucleotides) under Fusobacteriota bacterium. RNAcentral describes it as "Fusobacteria bacterium partial 16S ribosomal RNA". It matches the Rfam family "Bacterial small subunit ribosomal RNA", at positions 355 to 776 of the family's 1533-position model. Lineage: Bacteria; Fusobacteriati; Fusobacteriota. The record is from RNAcentral.
UGGGGGAUAUUGCACAAUGGGCGAAAGCCUGAUGCAGCGACGCCGCGUGGGGGAUGAAGGCCUUCGGGUUGUAAACUUCUUUUGCUCUGAACAAGGCAUGCUUUUGGGGUGUGUUGAGCGUAGGGGUUGAUUAGCGCCGGCUAACUACGUGCCAGCAGCCGCGGUAAUACGUAGGGCGCGAGCGUUGUCCGGAAUUAUUGGGCGUAAAGGGCUUGUAGGUGGCUGGUUGCGUCUGUCGUGAAAGCUCAUGGCUUAACUGUGGGUUUGCGGUGGGUACGGGCUGGCUUGAGUGCAGUAGGGGAGGCUGGAAUUCCUGGUGUAGCGGUGGAAUGCGCAGAUAUCAGGAGGAAUACCGGUGGCGAAGGCGUGUCUCUGGGCUGUUACUGACGCUGAGGGGCGAAAGCGUGGGGAGCGAACAGG